UACGGAGGGAGCUAGCGUUGUUCGGAAUUACUGGGCGUAAAGCGCACGUAGGCGGCUUUGUAAGUUAGAGGUGAAAGCCCGGAGCUCAACUCCGGAAUUGCCUUUAAGACUGCAUCGAUUGAAUCCAGGAGAGGUGAGUGGAAUUCCGAGUGUAGAGGUGAAAUUCGUAGAUAUUCGGAAGAACACCAGUGGCGAAGGCGACUUACUGGACACAUAUUGACGCUGAGGUGCGAAAGCGUGGGGAGCAAACAGG
Molecule: ribosomal RNA, 253 nt
Filed under: uncultured bacterium
Lineage: Bacteria
Description: partial 16S ribosomal RNA
Rfam family: Bacterial small subunit ribosomal RNA
Source: RNAcentral